This 372-nucleotide ribosomal RNA is filed under the name uncultured organism. RNAcentral describes it as "bacterial SSU rRNA". It matches the Rfam family "Bacterial small subunit ribosomal RNA", at positions 526 to 896 of the family's 1533-position model. The record is from RNAcentral.
CGAAGGGUGCGAGCGUUGUUCGGAAUUACUGGGCGUAAAGGGUUUGUAGGCUGAAAUGUAAGUCAAGUGUGAAAUCCCCGAGCUAAACUUGGGACGUGCAUUUGAAACUGUGUUUCUUGAGUAUCGUAGAGGGUGGUGGAAUUGCAGGUGUAGGAGUGACAUCCGUAGAGAUCUGCAGGAACAUCGGAGGCGAAGGCGACCACCUGGCCGAUUACUGACGCUGAGGAACGAAAGCGUGGGGAGCAAACAGGAUUAGAUACCCUGGUAGUCCACGCCGUAAACGAUGAUAACUAGGUGUUGGGAGAAUUGACCCUUUCAGUACCGUAGCACACGCGCUAAGUUAUCCGCCUGGGGAGUACGGCCGCAAGGCUA